RNAcentral lists this ribosomal RNA (429 nucleotides) under Acidobacteriota bacterium. RNAcentral's name for it is "Acidobacteria bacterium partial 16S ribosomal RNA". It matches the Rfam family "Bacterial small subunit ribosomal RNA", at positions 355 to 776 of the family's 1533-position model. The record is from RNAcentral. Lineage: Bacteria; Pseudomonadati; Acidobacteriota.
UGGGGAAUUUUGGACAAUGGGGGAAACCCUGAUCCAGCCAUCCCGCGUGUGCGAUGAAGGCCUUCGGGUUGUAAAGCACUUUUGGCAGGAAAGAAACGUCAUGGGUUAAUACCCCGUGAAACUGACGGUACCUGCAGAAUAAGCACCGGCUAACUACGUGCCAGCAGCCGCGCUAAUACGUAGGGUGCAAGCGUUAAUCGGAAUUACUGGGCGUAAAGCGUGCGCAGGCGGUUCGGAAAGAAAGAUGUGAAAUCCCAGAGCUCAACUUUGGAACUGCAUUUUUAACUACCGGGCUAGAGUGUGUCAGAGGGAGGUGGAAUUCCGCGUGUAGCAGUGAAAUGCGUAGAUAUGCGGAGGAACACCGAUGGCGAAGGCAGCCUCCUGGGAUAACACUGACGCUCAUGCACGAAAGCGUGGGGAGCAAACAGG